UUUACCUGCACGUCUGCCAUCUGGGUUUCCUGUGUCUGCUGAGCUCCCAAUUACUUCUGAAUUCAGUUUCCUUGAAUGUGAUUUUCUUCUUUUAUGGACUGUUUAUUCCUGGACCUUCCAGCUGCCUUCUGUUUCAGUGUUGCUUCCUUUCCAGCUUUGCUCAGAUGCCAUCACUUGUUUUAGGAUUCAUCGCACUAGAGCACACAAUUUUCAACUUCACCCUUUUGAAGGAGAUUUGAAACCUGCAGCUGAUGGGAAUCCGUGAAGAAGAGGAGAGGGUGAUGUCUGAUGAUGAUAUAUACGACUCUUCAGCUACCAUCAGCACAGACUCCAGGACUAAGGUGUUUCCCAAGCAGAAGUCUUAAAGGAGAAGAACAACUCCUUAAGCUGCCAGCUGGAUGCCUCCAGGAACGAGGUGGAGCUGCUCAAACAGGAACAAGGCGAGAACCAAACAAAGAGUCACUCAUAGCAGCUCAGCUUCCUGCAAGGCACGCGAGAGGGAUCGUUUCAGCAUUCCUGCAUGGCCACCUGUUUGGAGCCAGCAUUGAGUACAUCUGUUCCUACCUGCCACGUUUCGACACCAAGGUAACGCACACACACACA
This is a long non-coding RNA of Amphiprion ocellaris (clown anemonefish), 603 nucleotides long. RefSeq lists it as uncharacterized. The record is from RefSeq and is a predicted model, not a curated record. The transcript is spliced from 5 exons. NCBI's taxonomy places the organism in Eukaryota, Metazoa, Chordata, Actinopteri, Pomacentridae.